Molecule: long non-coding RNA, 1582 nt
Organism: Helianthus annuus (common sunflower)
Lineage: Eukaryota; Viridiplantae; Streptophyta; Magnoliopsida; Asterales; Asteraceae
Exons: 6
Source: RefSeq, a predicted model, not a curated record
GAAGUUUUUGGCAAUUUCAAAAUUUAAAUCACAACUUCUCCUUUUCUCUAGAUCUGGGACCCUAGCCUCCACAUCUCCGAUAUCCUAAAUCCGCUCUCCUCCCCUACGCACACAAAGAUGAUAUCGGAAGAAAUGGAGAUGAAAUACAAACAACAUCAAAUCGAAAACGCACAAGGUUGAACAGCGAUUUGAAUAAACCUUAACCAUUUCGCAGGUAGCAAUGAACGGUUCUGUUGAUUUGCGCUUUGCGGGAACACAUUGAAUUAACCAGUCUGCAUGCAGGUUUCAGGUCUAAAUGGAAUUAUACCAUUGGCUACUGGCUUGGAACUGACAGCCCAUAGAGCCCAUCAUUCAGUUUUGGUCUUGAACUUGCACAAAAUUCAGAGUUCAUAGCAUCCUUCUAUGAAUAUGUGGUGGCCCAAAGAAGGGUAACCUGCCUUUUCAUUUGCUAGAGCUAACAAGCAAUGGAUUUUAAUGAUUAUUUGCAUGACUUGAACAAAUCUCAGAAGGUGCUAUCAUCGAUUGCUUAAUCACCAGGUUUAUGACCUAUGUGGCUGAUAGGAUCCAACGCGUGUAUUCCAGAAAGAACAGGGCCAAACCAGUUGGGCCAGAUGUAUUUGGGCCAGAGCAUUUUAAUUAUAUUUUUGGGCUCUGGCAGUCUGGCUUGACCCACUUAGUCAACACAACAAUGAAAUCGUGGAGUGGUUGGGAGCAGUUCAUGACCAAGUUUCCAGGAGCAGUUAGCAAUCGCAACCUUGUUUAGGUUUUAAGAGGUUUUGCUAAUCCUCUUGGGAUCAAGUGAGCCAGCCGAUGGAUCCGAGCGAGUUGGUUAAGCUUGCUGACAUUUUAAAUCCUAAUAAUAAGCUUGGAAGGAUUACAGUGAUUGUAAAAAUGGAAGCCGAGAAUAUGAGAGUGAAGCUUCACCUUUGAUAAAGGCAAGCCAGGUUGUGACUUGGGCGUGACCCAAUGCAUGGGAACACUAUAAAGGUGCCUUCUGGCUUUAAAACACGUCCAUUCGAUUCCUUAUUGGCAAUGGUGCGAGCUUUCUUUGAUGUUCAUGACAAGAAGGAAGACAUCCAGGAGGGAUUCAUAUGGAGAUGAUGAAAGAAUGUGAUAUAGCUUGUUGGCGGACCGCAGAUCGUGAUCAUAGUAUCAUACACGAUGGAAAGGGUAUAUACAUGCUUAAUGACAAGUAUCGUGAAUGAAAAUAACCUUUUUGCGUGACAUAUACAUGUGCCAACGGACAACAAACAAUAGUGAUGUUGGUGGAGAUAAAGACAAUUUCCUACUGGUAGAUGGCCAAAAGGUCAAGGAAUGCAGUAUCUAAUUUGGAGAGUUGGUGUAGGUUAGAGGGGAUGUCUUUUGAUUAAGUUAUGUUUGUUUUCCUUUUUUGGGGUUGCUCCCUCGCUGCACUUGUGAUGCCCUCUUAACAGCUUUGCUAAGGGUGGUAUGUUUUGUUUGAAUACAUGCUUCCUUAGUUGGCCAAAAAAAUUAGCCUAACUCAGUAGAGUGAGCUUGACUUGGCAAUAAUUUUCGAAAUUAUGAUAUAGAAAGACAACUUUUUAUUCAGUUUUUCAUCCAA